This is a long non-coding RNA of Thalassophryne amazonica, 141 nucleotides long. RefSeq lists it as uncharacterized. The transcript has 4 exons. The record is from RefSeq and is a predicted model, not a curated record. NCBI's taxonomy places the organism in Eukaryota, Metazoa, Chordata, Actinopteri, Batrachoidiformes, Batrachoididae.
AUCUCAGGGAACGGGGAAUGCUGACAAACAAAGCAAAUUUUGGGUUUUGUCAGGGUUCGUAAAAGGUUGCAAAACAGUUUGCAAACAGUUUUUAGGGUUGCAAAACAAUAUUUCUUCAUGAAUUUAUUUUUACAGAAACAG